GGGGGUGAAAGGCCAAUCAAACCGGGAGAUAGCUGGUUCUCCCCGAAAGCUAUUUAGGUAGCGCCUCGUGAACUCAUCUCCGGGGGUAGAGCACUGUUUCGGCUAGGGGGCCAUCCCGGCUUACCAACCCGAUGCAAACUGCGAAUACCGGAGAAUGUUAUCACGGGAGACACACGGCGGGUGCUAACGUCCGUCGUGAAGAGGGAAACAACCCAGACCGCCAGCUAAGGUCCCAAAGUCAUGGUUAAGUGGGAAACGAUGUGGGAAGGCCCAGACAGCCAGGAUGUUGGCUUAGAAGCAGCCAUCAUUUAAAGAAAGCGUAAUAGCUCACUGGUCGAGUCGGCCUGCGCGGAAGAUGUAACGGGGCUAAACCAUGCACCGAAGCUGCGGCAGCGACACUCUGUGUUGUUGGGUAGGGGAGCGUUCUGUAAGCCU
Molecule: ribosomal RNA, 435 nt
Filed under: Cronobacter sakazakii
Lineage: Bacteria; Pseudomonadati; Pseudomonadota; Gammaproteobacteria; Enterobacterales; Enterobacteriaceae
Description: partial 23S ribosomal RNA
Rfam family: Bacterial large subunit ribosomal RNA
Source: RNAcentral